This 305-nucleotide unclassified non-coding RNA is filed under the name plant metagenome. RNAcentral's name for it is "partial contains 5.8S ribosomal RNA, internal transcribed spacer 2, and large subunit ribosomal RNA". The stretch from base 1 to 105 matches the Rfam family "5.8S ribosomal RNA", at positions 50 to 154 of the family's 154-position model. The record is from RNAcentral.
GAAAUGCGAUAAGUAGUGUGAAUUGCAGAAUUCAGUGAAUCAUCGAAUCUUUGAACGCACAUUGCGCCCUUUGGUAUUCCUUAGGGCAUGCCUGUUCGAGCGUCAUCUAAACCUUCAAGCCCUGCUUGGUGUUGGGUGCCUGUCCCGCCUCCGCGCGCGGACUCACCUCAAAUCGAUUGGCGGCCCCCGCGUCGGCCACGAGCGCAGCAGAAACGCGAACUCGUGAGCCCGUCCGGGCGGCUCCCAGAAGCUACACCCACCCAGUUUGACCUCGGAUCAGGUAGGGAUACCCGCUGAACUUAAGC